GACGAACGCUGGCGGCGUGCCUAACACAUGCAAGUCGAGCGGGGUUGAAGCGAGGGGUAACUCGAGUUUCUACCUAGCGGCGGACGGGUGAGUAACGCGUGGGCAACCUGCCUCAAGGACUGGGAUAACAGCUCGAAAGGGCUGCUAAUACCGGAUAAGCCUAUGGCCUCGCAUGGGGCCAUGAGCAAAGGGGAAACCCGCCUUGAGAUGGGCCCGCGUCCCAGUCAGCUAGUUGGUGAGGUGAAGGCUCACCAAGGCGACGACGGGUAGCCGGCCUGAGAGGGUGACCGGCCACGACUGGGACUGAGACACGGCCCAGACUCCUACGGGGGGCAGCAGUGGGGAAUCUUGCACAAUGGGCGAAAGCCUGAUGCAGCGACGCCGCGUGAGCGAAGAAGGCCUUCGGGUGUAAAGGCUCUGUCUGGAGGGACGAAGGAAGUGACGGUAACCUCCGGAGGAGCCACGGCUAACACGUGCCAGCGCCCGCGGAAAAGUCACGUCG
RNAcentral lists this ribosomal RNA (502 nucleotides) under uncultured bacterium. Its description in RNAcentral is "bacterial SSU rRNA". It matches the Rfam family "Bacterial small subunit ribosomal RNA", at positions 28 to 530 of the family's 1533-position model. The record is from RNAcentral.